GACGUAGGGCGCGAGCGUUGUCCGGAUUUAUUGGGCGUAAAGAGCUCGUAGGCGGCUUGUUGCGUCAGCUGUGAAAACCCGCAGCUCAACUGUGGGCUUGCAGCUGAUACGGGCAGGCUCGAGUUCGGUAGGGGAGACUGGAAUUCCUGGUGUAGCGGUGAAAUGCGCAGAUAUCAGGAGGAACACCGGUGGCGAAGGCGGGUCUCUGGGCCGGUACUGACGCUGAGACGCGAAAGCGUGGGGAGCGAACAGG
RNAcentral lists this ribosomal RNA (253 nucleotides) under uncultured bacterium. RNAcentral's name for it is "partial 16S ribosomal RNA". It matches the Rfam family "Bacterial small subunit ribosomal RNA", at positions 524 to 776 of the family's 1533-position model. The record is from RNAcentral.